Molecule: long non-coding RNA, 5829 nt
Filed under: Canis lupus familiaris (dog)
Lineage: Eukaryota; Metazoa; Chordata; Mammalia; Carnivora; Canidae
Description: lncRNA (ENSCAFG00000053379.1)
Source: RNAcentral
GAAAAAUAUUGAAAUGACUGGAGUUUCACUUAAAUUGAAGAAUUGUUACCACUUGCCAUACACACAUUUAAUACCUACUGGUUCACUGUAGGGGAAUAACUAAGAAACCAAAUGUGCCGAUUAGAGUUUAUAGGAAUGUUUCAAUACAGCUGUUUUUCCUUCUUAUAUUUCUUUUUUUUUUUUUAAUAUUUUAUUUAUUUAUUCAUGAGAGACACACAGAGCGAGGCAGAGACACAGGCAGAGGGAGAAGCAGGCUCCAUGCAUCGGGAUGCCCAAUGUGGGAUUCGAUCCCAGGUCUCCAGGAUCGUGCCCUGGGCCAAAGGCAGGCGCCAAACCGCUGCGCCACCCAGGGAUCCCUCCUUCUUAUAUUUCUUUAAUGCCUGGGAAAAAUCCAUGAUUAGGCACAUUUUUGGCAUUACUAAUUAACUUGUGUGGGACAACAUGUGAUCCACAGUAGUUUAGACCUCUGACUAGUGAUUUUAGAAUAAAAGCAGAUACAGUCAAAUACAUCUUACAGAAACUGUUAGGAUAGAUCUCAUUGUGACGCUGUGUCCAAAUGGGAGAGAGAUGACACCAUUUUCUCAAUUGACUUCAACUAAAUACCCAACUGUGGAAUCAGAGUUCCCAGGAAUCUGCCCGGACUCUCAGAAGCGGCGGAAAGGACCAUGGUGCAAGAGUGAGCCUGCAAUCGGCUGGGGCGAUCCAGCUGGUUCUAACAGAUUAUUGAACAUGGCUGGAGGCGCCUGGAAAAGAUGAGACCAGAGGACAAAAUUCUGAACAUGGAAUUUUAGGAAGAGAGAAAUGGCUGCACAGAGUACGAUGGACUGAAAAAGGAUGGGAUGCUGGGGAUUUGGAUGCAGACAUAGACAAGAACUGUCCAGAAUUCCUGAGGAUGGAGAGGAGAACCAUGAGACCAGAGAAUCAGAUGAUGUGACAUCAAAUUCAUGAUGCAAUUCAAAACACAGCUGUGGGGCAGGAAUCUGGAACCAACCGAAAUGGGGACUCAGAGAAAAAGAAAGAGGAAUCUACCCACUUUUCAGUCAACUUACCCAAUGGGAGAAGACACACCUUCCCAUGUGGAUCUUGUAGAAGCUUCUGGAGGGGUCAGUCCCAGGAGUGACCCUUGCUGUGUCAGCCUUUCUAUGCAUGAUCAGUUUGCUGUGAUCUAUGGAGAACUCCCACCUCAGGAAUUUGAAGCCUGUGGUAAGUCUUUUUGUUUUUUGAGUCUAGGCUAUAGAUUACUUUUGUUUUGAGAAAACCUUAGGGGCUUGUAAUAUAGUCACAAUUUUUUAUUCUUUGAACUGCAUAAAUAAAUUAGACCACUUUGUGGUGGAAAGAUUUUUGCAAGCAUAAGCUCAGGAUACUUUUCUAUUGUAUCUCUGAAAUAUUAAGUAUUUUUGGGUGUUCACACAAUAAGUUGAUAGGAUCGAUCCUUCCUUCCUUCCUUCCUUCCUUCCUUCCUUCCUUCCUUCCUUCCUUCUUCCUCUUCCUUUUCUUCUUUCUUUCUUUCUUUCUUUCUUUCUUUCUUUCUUUCUUUCUUUCUUUCUUUCUUUCUUUCUUUCCUUUUUCUUCUGACCUUCCUAGUGCAGUAAAUAAACAUUGAAAGAAUGUUAUAAAUUCAUCUGUUGGUAAUCCUUAAACUGCAUUAGAAUAAUUGAUUUGGGGAACCUAGAUAAAUAUUUAUCAUAACAAACCCACGUUUCUCAUUUCAUGUGGAAGGGAGCUGCAUUUUCCUUCAUGCACAGGGAUCAUAUGAAAAGCUUAUGUUAGAAGAUAGAAGCUUCAAAUCCAUUCUCUGGUCUUGGGGGACAUAACUUCUUGAGAUAGCUAGACUACAGUUCAACUAGAAUAUUUAAGAUGCAAGUAAGAAUUUUUUUAAAAGUUUCUUUUUCUGGGUUAGGUUUAAUGACUUUACUAGUGCAGAACAAUGGAAUUUCAUAUGCUCCAUCCCAAGAAGGAACUAAUGGAGGAAGACUAUUGUAUUUGUUGAAAGCGUAUGGUCUGCUGGGCUCCAUGUAUAUUCUCCCCACAGCCCUACAAGAUGAGUAUCAUUAUCCCUAUUUCACAGAUGAAGAAACAGGAUCAGAGGGGUUAGGUGAUCUAACCAAUGUCAAACACAAAUAAAUAGCAGCUCUAGGAAGAUCUAUGUGACUCCAAAUCCACGCUUUUUUUUUUUUCCAUUAUAACCUAUUGCUUUCAAAAGGUGAGAAGGCUAAUUUAACAUCUACCAUUACUGCCUGCCUACACAAGAAAACGCACAGAGAAUACUAACUCUUCUAGUGGUCUGGCAACCAGAGGUGGAGGCCAUUGCCUUUGGCUAACCCAUCUCUCUAAGAAUCUUGAAUGUGAACAAAGUGUCUUCUUCUCACCGUAUUGCCUGAGGGAAAUGAGCAGUUCAGAGAAGCCACUCCAGAAUUUUGGCCAGUUGCUGAGUGUUCAGGCUGAGGAGAUGAAGCAUAUGCAAACACUGUGGUGUCAGGUGCAGUGAAAUAAAUCAGAAUCAGCCUGAGCUUUCCUAUGAUCUUCAGCUGUGGUCUUUUUACAAGGCAUUGAAUCAAGACAACUUCAAUUUACAGGAUCAGAGUAAGUUCUUGUUGGACAGGAGUGGUUUUGGCCCGAAGUGUAGUUGUAAAAUAGACUUACUUUCUGGCUUUCCAUUCAUAGCUUUUGUCUCUAUUAUGGAAAUUCCCCUUCCAUCAGCACACUGGACCUUCAUACUCUUUCCACUUUCCCCUUAACACAAUCUGAUCUGGUGAGCUAUCACCUGGAAAAAAUCUAAUCAAUUAUAUCAUUACUUGCAGGAAUGACUCUGAUGGUGGAAUUUCAAGAAUCAAGGGAGGCAAGUGAAGAUGAAACUUCAAAGCAGCAAAGGUUUCUUAACACCCUUCGAUGUUUAGGACAUAAGUGACCACUUAUUUAUGAGCUGUUCAUGGGUUAAGACUGAUCCUAGAGGUUGAUGGAAGAAGGCUAAUGUAAGUGGCUGAAGGGUGCUUGACUAGAGUGUGCCUCUGGGGAAAACAAAAAACAAAAACCCUAGAGUCCUUUUGCUGGCACAUUGUUGCUCUGUUAUCUUCCAACACACUCUACUGUGGAGUCUGGCAUUUGUAUUGAAGCUGACUGUGGGGGUGGGGAUUGCUGAGGUUGGUGGGGGAAGCAUAUUCUUUCCUGCAGCUGGCUUCUCAGCCUCUCUAUAGGAAAGCCAAGAUGAUUCCUUUGGUCAUUGUAACUUGGUCAGAGAUCUUUCCUAGAGGAGAAAGAGUGAUUGUGAAGAUGGAUGGCCUAGGCAAUGCAGUAGAAAAAGGUAGCACAUUUUAAAAAAAGUAGUCCACUGACUGGCUGUGAUGACAGGGGAAUCUAAUGAAGUUUUCCUAAAGCUGUUUCCAGAUCUGUGGAAGCUUUAUCGAAGUCCAAAACUUUUGGUUGUAGAGUUCGGGAAGUUUACUGGAGUGCCAGCAAUUUAUCUCUCCUCUUACUUACUGUAGAUACUUAGGGCAGAAGUACAUUGCCAAUUUAUAACAUAGAAGCGUCUGGCACUUUUUUUUUUUUUUAAUUUUAAAAUAAAAACAAUCCCACAGCAUUUAUUGUCCUCUGGUAAUAACAUAAAGGUAAUUAAAACAAUACAAACAAGGGUUUUAGAACUAUAUUCCCAACAAAGGACAUCUAAAAAAACAAACUACGUGGCCUUCUCAAGAAUUUCUCACUUCACUGAUCAUUCUAGUUGGAGACACUUUGGAGCAGGGUAAUAUUAUCUCCUUUUAGCAUGAUCCGACCCAGUUGUUUUCUUGACUUUGUUUUAGAAUGAAUCUCUUUGGCAUCGUCUAAUACAAGGUUCAUGUACUCAUCAAAACCAAUGAUACAGCCCUCUAUCCGCAUGUUUACUUGCUCAUAAAGCCACACCUGAAUCCGAGAUCUAUUUUGCAAGUAUCUGAAGAUGAAUUUGAUGGCUGAACCAUCACCUUCUGCACUUUUUGGCCCUGGCCACAGUACGCCAUGGUGGAAGCUGACAAAGACCGGUAUAUAAAAAUGUUUUCUAAGACGGAGAGUUCUUCUAUAGACAUUUCAGAAGAAGCACUACUAUUUUAUCUAGAAGGUGAAGAAAUACUUAGCACAAAGCCACCAUUGCAAUCUGUGGCAGGGUAGGUAGAUGAAAUGCUUCUUUUUGCUUGAGGGGUUGGCCAACAAUGUUUGAGGUAAUUAUAACUUAUUUCUUGCUUAAAGGAAAAGGUGAAAGGACUUGAGGAACACUUCUGUGUACUCCACACUGUGAGAAGGAUGUGUUGAAGAACUAACACACAAAAAAAGCUAGAUUAAAAAAACAAGGGGGAGGAGAAGGGAAAUGUUUGUCAACAAGUAGAUGUGAUGAACUAUCUUUUCCCAUUGGUAGAAAUUAGGCUUAUUCAUAGUUCUUUUUGAUUUGGUUUUUAAAUUUGCAUCCUUCUGUUAGAGCAUUGCUCUAGUUGUUUUAUACCUAUUUCUUUAAGUGUGCCUACCCCCGCUAUGUUGUGAAUUACAUGAGGCCAUGCAUUUUCUUUUCUCCUAUCCUUAGCAUCAAGCUGGAUACAGAAUAGAUCCUCAACAAGUGACUCAUGAAUGACUGAAAUUAUUUUUUACACUAUAGAAUUUUAGUUCUAAAACAGUCACUUCCCUGGGAAUGGGACAUCCCUGUGGGUCAUCUCAGAUAAUUUAGGAGGUGAGUAGAAGUAAUAAGCUGAUCUGAGUAGGGCUAGAUUAUUGACUAGUUAAGGAACAUAACCUCUUUUACCAUAAAUUGACAAUUUGAAACAUGAAUAUGAUGAAUUUAGCCAAAGAUGAUACCUUGAGGCAAAGAAGGUUAUACAAAAUCGAAUAUUAUCACAAGAAUAAGAUUCCAGAAAUACAUGUUUCUAGCAGGGCUGGCUUCAUGGGAGUGCAGCCUGUGUAGUCACAUGGAAUCCUAUAGUCAGAGGCCCUGCAUGUGGCCUAUGGUGUCCGAUUGCAGUCUUGAAAUUCUUAAUAAGUUUUGAACAGAGACCUACAAUUUCAUUUUUCAUUGGACCCUGUGAAUUCAGUAGCUAGUCCUGGCUACUAAUAAGAUGAUGGGAACCAUGAGGGCCAUGAUCAGAGAAGCUGCACUGGAUAGUAUCUGAGAAGAGCUAGGGAAGAAACAAGCAUGGGUUAUAAGAAGAACUCAUCUUACUUUGCCUCUGAGUGUGUUGCAGGCACUGUACAGGGCGCAUUUCUCAGGAGGGUGAAUGAUAGGGCCACUGGUCAAGAAAGGAUGGGUAUCCUCUGGGAGAGGAGUAUUCAGGGAGUUAAAAAGGAAGACCCUUUUCUCUGGGAGAAUGGGAAAGACAAAAAGGAGAGCUUGCAGGGAUGGAAGACUGGGAUAGUCUCAGAAAGAGGGAGGACAUACCUGCAAACUCAGAAUGAAAUAACCUGAAGUGCAGAGAAGGAAUCAUUAGGUAUUUCUAUUCUCUAUCCCCAAAUAGGGCCCCACAGGAAUGCCAGACUGAUCAACCUGGGAAGCCCCACACCAGGGACAGACAUUAGGAUAUGAAGUUGUAGAAGACACUAAAAAUCCACAAAACUUCACCUUGGUUUCUCAGUAUACUAGAUGGAAAGGAAGCCAGUAAUUUCAUGUUAAGGAAAAUUGCUCAGAAAACUCUUAGAUUGGGAUGCCUGGGUGGCUCAGUGGUUGAGCGUCUGCCUUUGGCUCAGGCCAUGAUCCCAGAAUCCCGGGAUUGAGUCUCACAUCGGGCUCCCUGCAUGGAGUCUGCUUCUCCCUCUGCCUGUGUCUUUGCCUCUCUCUCUCUCUCUGUGUGUGUCUCUCAUGAAUAAAUAAAUAAAAUC